GCCCCAUAUGAAUGGUUGAUG
Molecule: non-coding RNA, 21 nt
Filed under: Gossypium hirsutum (cotton)
Lineage: Eukaryota; Viridiplantae; Streptophyta; Magnoliopsida; Malvales; Malvaceae
Source: RNAcentral